GGGAUCCAUCAUGCUAGCUCCUGAGAGUUCACAGCUUCUCUGCUGGCGUCCUGCUUCAUCUCAGACUGCCUCUCCCCACCUCUGCCUUCACUUUGAAGACCAGAUAGCCAGCUGGCUCAGCCACAGAGUUCAUACUUCUUCAUGGCAACAAAGUAGCGGAUGAAAGUCUCUCCCAGAGCCUGCUUCAGACACUCAUCUUGCUCUAGGGCAGCAAGAGCAUCUUCCAUCUUCAAAGGGAUCUCGGAAGGUUCUGGUUGAUAGAGAUCCUGGCUCUCAUCAGCACCAUCACUGCUCUGAAGACCAUCCAAGCCUGCUGCCACAGUGGCCGCCAACACCAAGGUUUGGCAUCAAUUCCAGAUACCCACGGGGCAUGAAAACUCCAUGGAUCACUUUUUCCUGAAGAAUAAAAAGGACAGAUUAACUAGGUUCUAAAACCUGAAGAUAAAACGUGAAGAUAAACAAAACAGGAGAAGAAGAUCUUGAUAAUAAGAAUGGGAAGCAUAAUAUCUGUGAAUUAACAUUAACUAUCAGGUAAAGUUUUUAAAAUUCAAAAUAGAUAUCAAAAAUGAAAUACUGAAAGAACUAUUCUUCUUAAAGACCUUCUGACAAUUUUUAAUAUUUUAACACAAGCCUUGAUAUGAUUUUAGAUGUGGAAAACAGCAAUCAUAACUGUUUCACGUAGCUACACAUAAAUGUUCUAAGGAUAAAGAAAGUCACUAUACAGCAAAAGACAAGGGUUUAUAAUUUUACAGAAAUACUUAAAAUUAUAAAUAAAAAACUUUA
Mus pahari (shrew mouse) is the source of this 783-nucleotide long non-coding RNA. RefSeq lists it as uncharacterized. The record is from RefSeq and is a predicted model, not a curated record. Lineage: Eukaryota; Metazoa; Chordata; Mammalia; Rodentia; Muridae. The transcript has 3 exons.